This 255-nucleotide ribosomal RNA is filed under the name Morganella morganii. Its description in RNAcentral is "partial 23S ribosomal RNA". It matches the Rfam family "Bacterial large subunit ribosomal RNA", at positions 1000 to 1253 of the family's 2925-position model. The record is from RNAcentral. Lineage: Bacteria; Pseudomonadati; Pseudomonadota; Gammaproteobacteria; Enterobacterales; Morganellaceae.
AACGUUCGUCGUGAAGAGGGAAACAACCCAGACCGCCGGCUAAGGUCCCAAAGUCAUAAUUAAGUGGGAAACGAAGUGGGAAGGCUCAGACAGCCAGGAUGUUGGCUUAGAAGCAGCCAUCAUUUAAAGAAAGCGUAAUAGCUCACUGGUCGAGUCGGCCUGCGCGGAAGAUGUAACGGGGCUAAAUUAUGCACCGAAGCCGCGGCAGCGAUAUGUAAAUAUUGUUGGGUAGGGGAGCGUUCUGUAAGCCUGUGA